This 259-nucleotide ribosomal RNA is filed under the name uncultured bacterium. RNAcentral's name for it is "partial 16S ribosomal RNA". It matches the Rfam family "Bacterial small subunit ribosomal RNA", at positions 793 to 1050 of the family's 1533-position model. The record is from RNAcentral.
GUCCACGCCGUAAACGAUGUGUGCUAUUAGUUCGAGGUAUCGACCCCUUGGGCUGAACAGCUAACGCGUUAAGCACACCGCCUGGGGAGUACGAGCGCAAGCUUAAAACUCAAAGGAAUUGACGGGGACCCGCACAAGCAGAGGAUGAUGUGGUUUAAUAUGAAGCUACGCGUAGAACCUUACCGAGGUUUGACAUCCCAGGAAGUCAGUCGAAAGACAGAUGUGCCUUUUGGAACCUGGUGACAGGUGCUGCAUGGCC